CUUGCUUCUCUUGAGAGCGGCGGACGGGUGAGUAAUGCCUAGGAAUCUGCCUGGUAGUGGGGGAUAACGUUCGGAAACGGACGCUAAUACCGCAUACGUCCUACGGGAGAAAGCAGGGGACCUUCGGGCCUUGCGCUAUCAGAUGAGCCUAGGUCGGAUUAGCUAGUUGGUGGGGUAAUGGCUCACCAAGGCGACGAUCCGUAACUGGUCUGAGAGGAUGAUCAGUCACACUGGAACUGAGACACGGUCCAGACUCCUACGGGAGGCAGCAGUGGGGAAUAUUGGACAAUGGGCGAAAGCCUGAUCCAGCCAUGCCGCGUGUGUGAAGAAGGUCUUCGGAUUGUAAAGCACUUUAAGUUGGGAGGAAGGGUUGUAGAUUAAUACUCUGCAAUUUUGACGUUACCGACAGAAUAAGCACCGGCUAACUCUGUGCCAGCAGCCGCGGUAAUACAGAGGGUGCAAGCGUUAAUCGGAAUUACUGGGCGUAAAGCGCGCGUAGGUGGUUUGUUAAGUUGGAUGUGAAAUCCCCGGGCUCAACCUGGGAACUGCAUUCAAAACUGACUGACUAGAGUAUGGUAGAGGGUGGUGGAAUUUCCUGUGUAGCGGUGAAAUGCGUAGAUAUAGGAAGGAACACCAGUGGCGAAGGCGACCACCUGGACUAAUACUGACACUGAGGUGCGAAAGCGUGGGGAGCAAACAGGAUUAGAUACCCUGGUAGUCCACGCCGUAAACGAUGUCAACUAGCCGUUGGAAGCCUUGAGCUUUUAGUGGCGCAGCUAACGCAUUAAGUUGACCGCCUGGGGAGUACGGCCGCAAGGUUAAAACUC
Molecule: ribosomal RNA, 827 nt
Filed under: uncultured bacterium
Lineage: Bacteria
Description: bacterial SSU rRNA
Rfam family: Bacterial small subunit ribosomal RNA
Source: RNAcentral